RNAcentral lists this ribosomal RNA (252 nucleotides) under uncultured bacterium. RNAcentral describes it as "partial 16S ribosomal RNA". It matches the Rfam family "Bacterial small subunit ribosomal RNA", at positions 524 to 776 of the family's 1533-position model. The record is from RNAcentral.
UACGUAGGGGGCAAGCGUUGUCCGGAAUUAUUGGGCGUAAAGCGCGCGCAGGCGGCUAUUUAAGACUGGUGUUUAAACCUUGGGCUCAACCUGAGGUCGCACUGGAAACUGGGUGGCUUGAGUACAGAAGAGGAAAGUGGAAUUCCACGUGUAGCGGUGAAAUGCGUAGAGAUGUGGAGGAACACCAGUGGCGAAGUCGACUUUCUGGGCUGUAACUGACGCUGAGGCGCGAAAGCGUGGGGAGCGAACAGG